ACAGAAAAGAUUGCUUCGCAGUAAGUAAAUAUAACUUAUUGCUUUUUUUUAAUCUUUAUGG
Molecule: microRNA precursor, 61 nt
Filed under: Ciona intestinalis (vase tunicate)
Lineage: Eukaryota; Metazoa; Chordata; Ascidiacea; Phlebobranchia; Cionidae
Description: microRNA cin-mir-4211 precursor
Source: miRBase by way of RNAcentral